Molecule: long non-coding RNA, 711 nt
Filed under: Malus domestica (apple)
Lineage: Eukaryota; Viridiplantae; Streptophyta; Magnoliopsida; Rosales; Rosaceae
Description: long non-coding RNA (MDOM_LNC014660)
Source: RNAcentral
CUCCUCCCUCGCAUUCCUCCUCGUCCGCGUCCUCCGCCUCGUCGACGCCGUCUCCAUCUCCCGCGACGUCUACCUCAAGUCCGUCGUCCCCAUCGGCGCCCUCUACGCCCUCUCCCUCUGGUUCUCCAACUCCGCCUACAUCUUCCUCUCCGUCUCCUUCAUCCAGAUGCUCAAGGCCCUCAUGCCCGUCGCGGUCUACUCCAUCGGCGUCGCCUUCAAAAAGGACGCCUUCAAGAGCGACACCAUGCUCAACAUGGUCUCCAUAUCCGUCGGCGUUGCCAUCGCAGCGUACGGGGAGGCGAAAUUCAACUCAUGGGGAGUCACAUUGCAGCUGUUGGCCGUGGCGUUCGAGGCCACGAGGUUGGUUCUCAUUCAGAUUCUGCUUAAUGCUAAGGGUAUUAGCUUGAAUCCGAUUACUUCACUUUACUAUGUUGCACCGUGUUGUUUCGUGUUCUUGUGCGUGCCGUGGGUCAUCGUUGAGCUGCCGGUGUUGAGGCAGACCUCGAGUUUUCACUUUGAUUUCGUGAUUUUUGGGACAAAUUCACUGUGCGCGUUUGCGUUGAAUCUGGCGGUGUUUCUGUUAGUGGGAAAGACCUCUGCUUUGACUAUGAAUGUUGCUGGGGUUGUCAAAGAUUGGCUUUUGAUUGCAUUUUCGUGGUCUGUGAUCAAGGAUACCGUGACACCUAUCAAUUUGAUGGGGUACCUGAUUGC